This 253-nucleotide ribosomal RNA is filed under the name uncultured bacterium. RNAcentral's name for it is "partial 16S ribosomal RNA". It matches the Rfam family "Bacterial small subunit ribosomal RNA", at positions 524 to 776 of the family's 1533-position model. The record is from RNAcentral.
UACGUAGGGUGCAAGCGUUAAUCGGAAUUACUGGGCGUAAAGCGUGCGCAGGCGGUUUUGUAAGUUUGUCGUGAAAGCCCCGGGCUCAACCUGGGAAUUGCAUUCGAGACUGAAUAGCUAGGGUGCGGUAGAGGGAAGUGGAAUUUCCGGUGUAGCGGUGAAAUGCGUAGAUAUCGGAAGGAACAUCAGUGGCGAAAGCGACUUCCUGGACCAGUACCGACGUUCAGGCACGAAAGCGUGGGGAGCAAACAGG